This 158-nucleotide ribosomal RNA is filed under the name uncultured Bacillota bacterium. RNAcentral's name for it is "uncultured Firmicutes bacterium partial 16S ribosomal RNA". It matches the Rfam family "Bacterial small subunit ribosomal RNA", at positions 76 to 231 of the family's 1533-position model. The record is from RNAcentral. Lineage: Bacteria; Bacillati; Bacillota.
GGAGCAAUCCCCUUAGUACAGCGGCGCACGGGUGAGUAACACGUGGGUAAUCUGCCCUGGAGUGGGGAAUAACACCGGGAAACCGGUGCUAAUACCGCAUACGAUCACAGAGUCUGCGGAUUUUGUGAUGAAAGGAGCAAUUCGCUCUAGGAGGAGCC